RNAcentral lists this ribosomal RNA (433 nucleotides) under uncultured bacterium. Its description in RNAcentral is "partial 16S ribosomal RNA". It matches the Rfam family "Bacterial small subunit ribosomal RNA", at positions 29 to 507 of the family's 1533-position model. The record is from RNAcentral.
AGCGAACGCUGGCGGCAGGCCUAACACAUGCAAGUCGAACGAACUCUUCGGAGUUAGUGGCGGACGGGUGAGUAACACGUGGGAACGUGCCUUUAGGUUCGGAAUAACUCAGGUAAACUUGUGCUAAUACCGAAUGUGCCCUUCGGGGGAAAGAUUUAUCGCCUUUAGAGCGGCCCGCGUCUGAUUAGCUAGUUGGUGAGGUAAAGGCUCACCAAGGCGACGAUCAGUAGCUGGUCUGAGAGGAUGAUCAGCCACAUUGGGACUGAGACACGGCCCAAACUCCUACGGGAGGCAGCAGUGGGGAAUCUUGCGCAAUGGGCGAAAGCCUGACGCAGCCAUGCCGCGUGAAUGAUGAAGGUCUUAGGAUUGUAAAAUUCUUUCACCGGGGACGAUAAUGACGGUACCCGGAGAAGAAGCCCCGGCUAACUUCGUG